UAAAUAUACUUUUGUCCACUCACUCUAACGUUUUCAAAUGUUUUCCCUUGGGCCAUUCGUUUUAAAAUGCCCAGUUUGUAGGUUAGCAUAGUUGAGGUCAGGCGUACAUGGAGUCGAGGCAUAAUCCAUUAUAUAGCUUUUGUCACAUCCCGACCCUUAUAUUUUUACCUUAUUUACUAGCGUGAUUAUAAUAAGAAUUUUACCGUCUCGAUCAUGAGUAAAUAAUUUAAUUGGUCCCUAGAGGGGUUUCGGGGACGAUUAUGUGCGGAGGAUUAUUCGUAUGAGGAAAAUACGACGACGGUAAAAAUGGUAAAUUUUAGCUAGUAAAAGGUAAUUUUUAUUCGGGUAUUAUUUUUCGGGGUGUUUUUAUUUUUGGAAGAUUGGGUUAGAAGUGGUGUGGACCGGUUUGGGGUGUGAGGCCCAAACCCUUUUUCUCUUUUCCCUCUCUCCCGUUUUCUCUCUCUCUCCCCCGAUUUUUUUCCUUUCCUUCCCGCCUGCCGUCCGUCCGGCCGUCCUCCUGCCGCCGUCCGGCCACCCAGCUGCCGCCGCUCCACCCCACGUUCGGACCCCCACUCUCCUCCUCUCCCUCCCCGGCCUAGCCCCCGACGCCUCUAACCCGCCGGAGAGGAGAAAAAGCCGCCGGAACCGCCGACUGUGUCUUCGCCGGAGCUCCGUCCUCCGGCCACCAUAGGUCGUGAUUUUUGGCUCAACUUGUAGCCCUCAUCUAGGUGAGUAAUCCCUCAAAAGGUUUCGGCUUAAUUCGAUUUCGUUAGGGUGGUUUGUAUAAUUGAAAGUUUUAGGGAUUUAUGGUUUUUUGUGUUCGAUUGACAUGGUUAGGCUUAGAAUUGGAGUUUGUGUUGGUCAUGAAAGUUGUAGAGGAGAUUGAGAGGAAGAUUCUGUUAAAAUUUGGUGGCAUUUGCAGGUUGCCGGAGUUGGUCGCCGGCCGCCGCUGCCGGCGGAGCCGCCGGCGGCGGCGCCGCUGUUUUGGGAAAUUUUAUGGUUUUUGAUGUAGAAUAUUAAGGGGAUAUUAUUGAAGUGAAUUAUGGAAUUUUUGGAUGAGAUUUGGAUAGGUUUGUGAAUUUCCGAAGUUUGGUAUUUUUGGCGGUUAAUUAAUGUAGAAUCCGGCCGUUGGAUUUAAGUCAUAUUUUGGAGAGGUUGUAUUUACGACUGUUGAGUAUGAUAUUUAAGUUUGGAUUAUUCCGAUGUAAGAAUAUCGAAGUUAGGCAAUG
RNAcentral lists this long non-coding RNA (1229 nucleotides) under Fragaria vesca (wild strawberry). RNAcentral describes it as "long non-coding RNA (FVES_LNC004833)". The record is from RNAcentral. Lineage: Eukaryota; Viridiplantae; Streptophyta; Magnoliopsida; Rosales; Rosaceae.